CACUACUUCCUCCUUUCCCGCCGGCAGAUGCCGUAGUGAAACAGACGCUGAUGUCCGAUUCCUAAUCGAGCCCUGCCAUCUGAUUUCAUUGUAUUUCGGCAUGUUGUUAAUUGCCUCUGGAUGGACAAAGGAAACCACCUUUCUUGACAGGAAUGGGAGUUCCAUGAUGAGAAGAUGAACUCAAAUGGGGAAGAGACCCAACGAACAUAACUAUAAAAAUGAAGACAUAAUCGAUAAUGGAUGAACAACAGAUGCUACUGCUUCGACGGCAUUGCCACGAAAGAAACGAACGAAAGAGGGAAGAGAGAGAGAGUGUGUGAGAGGCCGACCGAUGAUAAAUUCUCGAGAAAUCGUCCUACAGGAAAUCCCUACAGUUUUCACUUAAAUUUACAAGAUGUCAUGAAAAAAAAAGUUAGCCAGAUGAAAAUUUGAGAAAUUGUUGGAUGAGCAAAUAUGCAGCUGGGACGAUAUUUUGUGACCAAGUACAACGAAGUUCACGGGGAAGGGCAGGUGUCUCCAUAAUAGAACGUAAUUGAGGUUGACUCUUUAAUGAUAGGACCGUGACAAGUGUUAAGACAAUUUUGCAAUUACUGUCCGCGUCAUUCUUGUUGGUGGCGUCCAGAACAACAUUUUGCUGUGUGAUUGCUUCGUCUCUCCGGGCAGCUGUAUAAUUCGAUUCUUUUGCAUGAAAUGGCCUGUUUUAUGCAAUGCACUAAAGUCAUCGGCUGUCAUUUGAUUCCAAAACAAGGGAAUGAAAAAUAUAAAAAUCUAAUUUGAAGGAUUGGAAAGCCUUUAAAAUGAUUUCUUGUCUUGCUUGUUCUUGUCUUGUGUUGCUGAAGUUUGAAAGGACUGUGGAAGGCAGAAAACUGGAAAAAAUUCAGCCAUAAGAUUAUGAUUAAGCCUCAUUUCACUGAGCAUAAUGAAUUUCUGGAUUUGAAAUGUUUCAGAUAAUAAUGAUAAAAGAAUAAAAUGGAGACAAACCAUGUUGAAUCUUUCCUUCUCUAAAUUCUGUGUUAAAGAUGCAUAUUGCCACUGAAGGAAGAUAUUCUGCUGACAACAAUAGAUUGAUGACCUUGCCUUAUCAUAAAACCGGAACAAAGACAUUCGUAAUGAAACAGUAUUAACAGAACAUGUUUCUUCCUGUUGUAUUUUAAUGAAAAUGCUAGGUACACUAAAAUAAAUGAAGUUACCAUUCGGCGCUUAAAA
This is a long non-coding RNA of Argiope bruennichi, 1206 nucleotides long. RefSeq lists it as uncharacterized. The record is from RefSeq and is a predicted model, not a curated record. The transcript is spliced from 8 exons. NCBI's taxonomy places the organism in Eukaryota, Metazoa, Arthropoda, Arachnida, Araneae, Araneidae.